Molecule: ribosomal RNA, 253 nt
Filed under: uncultured bacterium
Lineage: Bacteria
Description: partial 16S ribosomal RNA
Rfam family: Bacterial small subunit ribosomal RNA
Source: RNAcentral
UACAGAGGUCUCAAGCGUUGUUCGGAUUCAUUGGGCGUAAAGGGUGCGUAGGCGGUGUGGUAAGUUGGAUGUGAAAUCCCGGGGCUUAACCCCGGAACUGCAUUCAAUACUGCCUUGCUAGAGUACUGGAGAGGAGAUUGGAAUUCACGGUGUAGCAGUGAAAUGCGUAGAUAUCGUGAGGAAGACCAGUGGCGAAGGCGAAUCUCUGGACAGUAACUGACGCUGAGGCACGAAGGCUAGGGGAGCAAACGGG